AUCCAGCUGAUGAGUCCCAAACAGGACGAAAAGCGCAUGCUGCAU
RNAcentral lists this non-coding RNA (45 nucleotides) under Schistosoma curassoni. The record is from RNAcentral. Lineage: Eukaryota; Metazoa; Platyhelminthes; Trematoda; Strigeidida; Schistosomatidae.